GUGGAGGAAGAAGGUCUGCGGAUUGUAAACUCCUGUUGAUGGGGAAGAUAAUGACGGUACCCAACAAGGAAGGGACGGCUAACUACGUGCCAGCAGCCGCGGUAAAACGUAGGUCACAAGCGUGGUCCGGAAUGACUGGGUGUAAAGGGAGCGCAGGCGGGAAGACAAGUUGGAAGUGAAAUCUAUGGGCUCAACCCAUAAACUGCUGUCAAAACUGGUUUUCUUGAGUAGUGCAGAGGUAGGCGGAAUUCCCGGUGUAGCGGUGGAAUGCGUAGAUAUCGGGAGGAACACCAGUGGCGAAGGCGGUCUACUGGGCACCAACUGACGCUGAGGCCUGAAAGUGUGGGUAGCAAACAGGAUUAGAUACCCUGGUAGUCCACACCGUAAACGAUGAUUACUAGGUGGUGGAGGAUUGACCCCCUUCAGUGCCGCAGUUAACACAAUAAGGAAUCCACCUGGGGAGUACGACCGCAAGGUUGAAACUCAAAGGAAUUGACGGGGGCCCGGACAAGCAGUGGAGU
Molecule: ribosomal RNA, 521 nt
Filed under: uncultured bacterium
Lineage: Bacteria
Description: bacterial SSU rRNA
Rfam family: Bacterial small subunit ribosomal RNA
Source: RNAcentral